RNAcentral lists this ribosomal RNA (478 nucleotides) under uncultured bacterium. RNAcentral's name for it is "bacterial SSU rRNA". It matches the Rfam family "Bacterial small subunit ribosomal RNA", at positions 903 to 1397 of the family's 1533-position model. The record is from RNAcentral.
AAAUGAAUAGACGGGGACCCGCACAAGCGGUGGAGCAUGUGGUUCAAUUCGAAGAUAAGCGAGGAACCUCACCAGGGCUUGACAGCUAGCCUAUGUAAAACCUUAAUCGGUUUUUCUUAGUGGCUAAGACAGGUGCUGCAUGGUUGUCGUCAGCAUGUGCCGUGAGGUGCACCGUUAAUUCGGGUAACAUGCGCAACCCUCAUCCUGAUUUAAUUUUCAUCAGGAAACUGCCUCCGAUAAGGAGGAGGAAGGUGGGGAUGACGUCAAAUCAGCAUGGUCCUUACGCUCUGGGCUACACACGUGCUACAAUGGCCACUACAAUGGGACGCCAAGUCGCAAGACGGAGCUAACCCCAUCAAAAGUGGCCUCAGUUCGGAUUGAGGUCUGCAACUCGACCUCAUGAAGUUGGAAUCGCUAGUAAACGCGAAUCAGCCUCGUCGCGUUGAAUACGUUCUCGGGUCUUGUACACACCGCCCGU